Molecule: ribosomal RNA, 193 nt
Filed under: uncultured bacterium
Lineage: Bacteria
Description: partial 16S ribosomal RNA
Rfam family: Bacterial small subunit ribosomal RNA
Source: RNAcentral
ACGCUCGACACCAGGCAGCAGUGGGGAAUAUUGCACAAUGGGGGAAACCCGUGAUGCAGCGACGCCGCGUGGAGGAAGAAGGUCUUCGGAUUGUAAACUCCUGUUGUUGGGGAAAAAGAGGAUGGUACCCAACAAGGAAGUGACGGCUAACUACGUGCCCGCAGCCGCGGUAAUCUGAGCGGGCUGGCAAGGC